AGCGAAAGCUGGCGGCAGGCUUAACACAUGCAAGUCGAGCGGGCAUAGCAAUAUGUCAGCGGCAGACGGGUGAGUAACGCGUGGGAACGUACCUUUUGGUUCGGAACAACUGAGGGAAACUUCAGCUAAUACCGGAUAAGCCCUUACGGGGAAAGAUUUAUCGCCGAAAGAUCGGCCCGCGUCUGAUUAGCUAGUUGGUGAGGUAAUGGCUCACCAAGGCGACGAUCAGUAGCUGGUCUGAGAGGAUGAUCAGCCACAUUGGGACUGAGACACGGCCCAAACUCCUACGGGAGGCAGCAGUGGGGAAUAUUGCACAAUGGGCGCAAGCCUGAUCCAGCCAUGCCGCGUGAAGGAUGAAGGCCCUAGGGUUGUAAAGCUCUAUUGUGAGGGAAGAUAAUGACGGUACCGCAAGAAUAAGCCCCGGCUAACUUCGUGCCAGCCGCCGCGGUAA
RNAcentral lists this ribosomal RNA (451 nucleotides) under uncultured bacterium. RNAcentral describes it as "partial 16S ribosomal RNA". It matches the Rfam family "Bacterial small subunit ribosomal RNA", at positions 29 to 523 of the family's 1533-position model. The record is from RNAcentral.